UAGGCCUACGGGAGGCAGCAGGGAAUUUUCGUCAAUGGGCGCAAGCCUGAACGAGCAAUGCCGCGUGAACGAGGAAGGUCUUCGGGUCGUAAAGUUCUGUUGAAGGGGAAAAAGAGCGGAGAGAGGAAAUGCUUUCUGAUUGAUAUUACCCUUCGAGGAAGUCACGGCUAACUACGUGCCAGCAGCCGCGGUAAUACGUAGGUGGCGAGCGUUAUCCGGAAUGAUUGGGCGUAAAGGGUGCGUAGGCGGCCUGCUAAGUCUGGAGUGAAAGGUACCGGCUCAACCGGUACAGGCUCUGGAAACGG
This 305-nucleotide ribosomal RNA is filed under the name uncultured bacterium. RNAcentral describes it as "bacterial SSU rRNA". It matches the Rfam family "Bacterial small subunit ribosomal RNA", at positions 334 to 635 of the family's 1533-position model. The record is from RNAcentral.